RNAcentral lists this ribosomal RNA (492 nucleotides) under uncultured bacterium. RNAcentral's name for it is "partial 16S ribosomal RNA". It matches the Rfam family "Bacterial small subunit ribosomal RNA", at positions 29 to 507 of the family's 1533-position model. The record is from RNAcentral.
AGUGAACGCUGGCGGUAUGCCUAACACAUGCAAGUCGAACGGCAGCACAGUAAGAGCUUGCUCUUACGGGUGGCGAGUGGCGGACGGGUGAGGAAUACAUCGGAAUCUACUUUUUCGUGGGGGAUAACGUAGGGAAACUUACGCUAAUACCGCAUACGACCUACGGGUGAAAGCAGGGGAUCUUCGGACCUUGCGCGAUUGAAUGAGCCGAUGUCGGAUUAGCUAGUUGGCGGGGUAAAGGCCCACCAAGGCGACGAUCCGUAGCUGGUCUGAGAGGAUGAUCAGCCACACUGGAACUGAGACACGGUCCAGACUCCUACGGGAGGCAGCAGUGGGGAAUAUUCGACAAUGGGCGAAAGCCUGAUCCAGCCAUACCGCGUGAGUGAAGAAGGCCUUCGGGUUGUAAAGCCCUUUUGUUGGGAAAGAAAAGCAGCAGGUUAAUACCCCGCUGUUCUGACGGUACCCAAAGAAUAAGCACCGGCUAACUUCGUG